RNAcentral lists this ribosomal RNA (396 nucleotides) under uncultured bacterium. Its description in RNAcentral is "partial 16S ribosomal RNA". It matches the Rfam family "Bacterial small subunit ribosomal RNA", at positions 338 to 731 of the family's 1533-position model. The record is from RNAcentral.
CCUACGGGAGGCAGCAGUGAGGAAUAUUGGUCAAUGGACGCAAGCCUGAACCAGCCAAGUCGCGUGAGGGAAGACGGCCCUACGGGUUGUAAACCUCUUUUGCCGGGGAGCAAGCCUGAGCACGUGUGCCCAGGCGGAGAGUACCCGGAGAAAAAGCAUCGGCAAACUCGUUGCCAGCAGCCGCGGUAAUAGGGGGAAUGCGAGGGUUAUCCGGAUUAAUGGGUUUUAAAGGGUGCGCAGGCGGGCUGUUAAGCCGGCGGUAAAAAUCCAGGGCCAAACCUGGUCGUGCCGUCGGAACUGGCAGUCUUGAGAGGGCGAGAGGUAGGCGGAAUGUGUGGUGUAGCGGUGAAAUGCAUAGAUAUCACGCAGAACGCCGAUUGCGAAGGCAGCAUACCG